UACAACCCUGCCCUUCAGAGGGGGAUAACAACGGGAAACCGUUGCUAAUACCGCGUACGAUUCACAGGCGGCAUCGCUUGUGAAUGAAAGGUGGCCUCUAUGUAUAAGCUAUCGCUGAAGGAGGGGAUUGCGUCUGAUUAGCUAGUUGGAGGGGUAACGGCCCACCAAGGCAAUGAUCAGUAGCCGGUCUGAGAGGAUGAACGGCCACAUUGGGACUGAGACACGGCCCAA
RNAcentral lists this ribosomal RNA (231 nucleotides) under uncultured bacterium. Its description in RNAcentral is "partial 16S ribosomal RNA". It matches the Rfam family "Bacterial small subunit ribosomal RNA", at positions 119 to 334 of the family's 1533-position model. The record is from RNAcentral.